RNAcentral lists this ribosomal RNA (426 nucleotides) under uncultured bacterium. RNAcentral describes it as "partial 16S ribosomal RNA". It matches the Rfam family "Bacterial small subunit ribosomal RNA", at positions 354 to 796 of the family's 1533-position model. The record is from RNAcentral.
GUGAGGAAUUUUCCGCAAUGGGCGAAAGCCUGACGGAGCAAUGCCGCGUGAAGGAUGAAGGCCUAUGGGUUGUAAACUUCUUUUCUCAGAAAAGAAUUAUGACGGUAUCUGAGGAAUAAGCAUCGGCUAACUCUGUGCCAGCAGCCGCGGUAAGACAGAGGAUGCAAGCGUUAUCCGGAAUGAUUGGGCGUAAAGCGUCUGUAGGUUGUUUAAAAAGUAUUCUGUCAAAGAUUAGGGCUUAACCCUAGAUAGGCAGAAUAAACUUUUAAGCUAGAUUUUGGUAGAGGCAGAGGGAAUUCCCGGUGGAGCGGUGAAAUGCGUAGAUAUCGGGAGGAACACCAAAGGCGAAGGCACUCUGCUGGGCCAAUACUAACACUGAGAGACGAAAGCGAGGGGAGCAAAUGGGAUUAGAAACCCCGGUAGUCC